RNAcentral lists this ribosomal RNA (242 nucleotides) under uncultured bacterium. Its description in RNAcentral is "partial 16S ribosomal RNA". It matches the Rfam family "Bacterial small subunit ribosomal RNA", at positions 535 to 776 of the family's 1533-position model. The record is from RNAcentral.
CUAGCGUUGUUCGGAAUUACUGGGCGUAAAGCGCGCGUAGGCGGACCUGCAAGUCGGGGGUGAAAGCCCGAGGCUCAACCUCGGAACUGCCUUCGAUACUGCGGGUCUCGAGUCCGGGAGAGGUGAGUGGAAUUCCUAGUGUAGAGGUGAAAUUCGUAGAUAUUAGGAAGAACACCAGUGGCGAAGGCGGCUCACUGGCCCGGUACUGACGCUGAGGCGCGAAAGCGUGGGGAGCAAACAGG